AGUGGACGCUGGCGGUAGGCCUAACACAUGCAAGUCGAACGGCAGCACAGUAAGAGCUUGCUCUUACGGGUGGCGAGUGGCGGACAGGUGAGGAAUACAUCGGAAUCUACUUUUUCGUGGGGGAUAACGUAGGGAAACUUACGCUAAUACCGCAUACGACCUACGGGUGAAAGCAGGGGAUCUUCGGACCUUGCGCGAUUGAAUGAGCCGAUGUCGGAUUAGCUAGUUGGCGGGGUAAAGGCCCACCAAGGCGACGAUCCGUAGCUGGUCUGAGAGGAUGAUCAGCCACACUGGAACUGAGACACGGUCCAGACUCCUACGGGAGGCAGCAGUGGGGAAUAUUGGACAAUGGGCGCAAGCCUGAUCCAGCCAUACCGCGUGGGUGAAGAAGGCCUUCGGGUUGUAAAGCCCUUUUGUUGGGAAAGAAAAGCAGCAGGUUAAUACCCCGCUGUUCUGACGGUACCCAAAGAAUAAGCACCGGCUAACUUCGUG
This 492-nucleotide ribosomal RNA is filed under the name uncultured bacterium. RNAcentral's name for it is "partial 16S ribosomal RNA". It matches the Rfam family "Bacterial small subunit ribosomal RNA", at positions 29 to 507 of the family's 1533-position model. The record is from RNAcentral.